This 70-nucleotide transfer RNA is filed under the name Pseudomonas syringae. RNAcentral describes it as "tRNA-OTHER". It matches the Rfam family "tRNA". From Rfam's summary of the family: Transfer RNA (tRNA) molecules are approximately 80 nucleotides in length. Their secondary structure includes four short double-helical elements and three loops (D, anti-codon, and T loops). Lineage: Bacteria; Pseudomonadati; Pseudomonadota; Gammaproteobacteria; Pseudomonadales; Pseudomonadaceae. The record is from RNAcentral.
UGGGCUUUGGUGUAAUUGGUUGCACAUCCUGCGAAAUCAGGAAGGUCCCGGUUCGAGUCCGGGAUGCCAA